UUCACGCAAUAGUGAUUUUACCGUUCUAUCCCUAUUUUGUGCUUUGUUUUCAUUUUUGUCUUAUUCUUAAUAAUAGUGCACGGACCAUAACACCCUCAAGUCAUUUUUACACUGUCGUGCUUCUCCUUUGCUUCUCCCUUAUCCGGUUAUCCCUGAUUACUGUCUUUGCGUGAAUAUCUGUCUGAGAUUUUCCUCCCUUCUCCAUCACUCCAUGAGAGCUCUCUUCUAUCCUACGUCCCCUUGACUUUCAUCUCCCCUUUCAAUGUUCUCCGAUCAUCAUCAAAACGUCGUCGGCAACCUGGGUCUCGCGUCUGAAAAUAUCACAAAAUCGAUUAGAUUUCAGGCUGGGGCUUGAUAAUUCCCGGCAACAAUCCGGCAAGGCGGCAACUGGCGGUGGCAGUGCAAUAGCUAGAUUCUUCCGCUUCUUAGACGCAAGUCUAAUCUUUUGAAAUACCUUAUAAUAAUAUUUUCAUAUAUUUGACAUUUUGGGUUGAAUAAUAGAUUUUGUAAGUUGGAGUUUUUCGUUUAGUUUUACAGUUACAUCUAUGGUUUUUGGAAUAUAGAUGUAAAUGUAUUUGGGCGAUGGUUUUAACGUAAAGGGUUAUGUGAAAUCAAAAGGUUAUUUGGAUUGAAUUGGGGUUUUAUGGAUUUGAAUUGAAUUGGAGUUUUAUGAAUUUUGGUGAAUGCAGGAUAAAACUUUUACUUCCAUUUUGAAGACCCUCUGCUUUUGUUCUUCUUCUGAAGACUACAAGUAUAUCUCUAUAUUUUGAAUGAUAGUUCAAUUAUAAAUUGAUAGGUAAUAAAUUGCGAUGGUAUUCAAAAAGUUAUGAGCAUUAUUGUAUAUUGCACUUAUAUUGUGAAGUAUUUAGUAGGAGUUAUUAUGGAACAACAAAAUUUGGUUAAUAAUGCUACACGGAGUGAAGCCAGGAUUUAACAAUAGUUGGGGUUAAAUGUUCUUAAAUUCGUGUGCAAUAUGAAUCGGUUUAUUACAUCGAUUUGCUUACUUUGCUUUUGAUUGUUGUAAAUUUGUUAGGGUGAUACAAAAGGGUAUGCUAAGUAGUUUCUAUCCCUUUUUAUAUGAACAAAGAUAAAAUUCGGGAGGAUUUUGAGGAACUCUCUGAUUGCAAUUUAUCAACCUUCUUGGCAGAGUACCUAACCUCAGGAAGCUAAGUGGACAUGUUUACUCUAUGAAGAUUUCUUGAUGGUAAAUUCCGUGGGAAAACUGAUUGCACAAUGACGAUUUGUUGAAGCUACAAGCAAUUGCAGGCUUGGAAAGAAAAAUGAGCCCUUCACAUUGGAGAUUGUGUGAAGAGCUGGAAGUUGGAUUGAUUUUUAGAAUGGGUAUAAUACUAUGGACAUGGGUUGUAUGGAGUCUAUUUGGUGGGUCUUCUCUCAGCUGAAUUAGAAGAGGCUUGUUUAUCGCGGGUUUAAGGUUUGUGCUUGUUUUUAUUUUGAUGGUUUUCUUGGAGGGUUAAUGAUGUAGACGGGGUUUGAUGUUACGAACUAAUGUAUGUUGUUUUUGAUUGUUUUGUGAUGUGGGUUUUCAGGUUUUGGUUUGAAUGUCAGUGGGUGUUUUGAUGUGAGUGACUAACUUUAGUGUUAAACUAGGAGUACGUUUGAAGUUUUUUGUUCAAAGAGUUGGUAUAAGUUAUUGGUUUCCUUAUUUGUUUUUACUAUUAUUGUGGGUCAAUUGGCAUUUGGGUUAUGUUCGUUGAGUGCUAGCUGAAUUAGUGUGCUUUUUAUAUGGAAGGUUUUAAUUUGAAUAAGGAGAGUCCAAGAUUAAAAAUUAGAGAUUGUUUUUACUGAAAGGCAAAUUACACUGGAAAGAAAUUUCUGAUAGAAAGCCACAAUUAAAAGGGUUCGAUGUCUUUUAUUGGUUGUUUAUUGGGUUGAUGAGAUCAUGUCUGAUAUAUCUGCAUUACUAUGUCUAUAAAAAGGUGAUAUAUUUGCGGAUAUUUCUUAUUUUCAGCCAGUUGUGCGGUAGUUGUAUUAAUUAAUAAUUAUACUAUCUUAGGAUUUGGUAGACAUCUAUUAGUUCGGCAAAUUAAAGUCUUGCCUUCAAAAGUUCAUAUAUCUAGAGUCCAAUAGCAAAAUCAAGGUGAACAUCAAUCAUGUUGACAAUUUUUGUAAUCAACAGUUACAUAUUGGGAGUCAUGAUAGUACAUAUCAAUAUAAUUCCUGCUAACAUGAUCAGUAUUCAGUGGGAACCAAGACAUCAUCAAAAUUCGAUCUACAAAUAUAUAUAUAUAUAUAUUCUAACGUUUAUAUAUAUAUAUAUGCACAGUGUACAACUUAAAGAUAUAGACAAAAAUACAUAGAUGGAAAAACUGAAUAAAGAAAUGAAAGCGACAACAAAACUAAACAUCCUCUGUAUAUAUUAACAAUCUUUCUCAUAGUUCUUUGAUUUUUUUACCUUAUUGAUAUACGAGGUGUGAUGUGAAGAAGUUGUGGUAUAGUCAUAGAAAGAUCCGGUAUUGACAGUCAAAUUAUUUUGUUAUUUGUUAAGCACUCUUCGUUUAUGUUUAUGUUUAUGGUGCAUGACUUUAGUAUCAAAACUACCUUAUAGUGUUUUUUUAAAAGAGAAACACAUAACACUUGCGAUUUAUGUUCUUAGGAAAUACCCGUUGCCCCAUUUUGGCUCCCUUGUGGUUUAUGUGUUAGGGAUACAUAUAAAACCUACAUUAAGUAGGGAGUACUUAAGAUGUUUCUCAUUGUUUACUGUACUCAUACUUUGAGGAUUAUUAUGGCAUUCGUGUGAUUUGGCAAGACUUUGCAUGUAGGCCAAGAAGAUCUUGUGUUUCUGAUUACCUAUAAUUAGCUCAUUAGUACUUAUGAUUACAAGUCUUACGGUAGGUUUGGAGUUACAAUGCUUGAAAUACUUUUAAAAUGUUUAUACUUUAUAGACGAAAGCAGAGGGGACGUUUUGAUGUUUUAGGACGGGUUGUUCUUGACAAGCUUUGUAAUCUUGUUUCCCAAAGUAACGGUUUCAAACUUUAAAUGUAUCCUUUUUCUGUCACUUCAGAUCAACAAAUUUGUCCAUUUGGUUUAUCCCAUUGUCUUAUAUUGUUUCCUAUUACUCCAUUUGAUUUCGAUAAGUAUUGUUGCUUGGUAUUUUUGGAACAUGAUGCAGGGUUCCAGGAACACGGUUGAAAGUUGAAACUCCAACUUGGGUUGGUUAUGUCAAGCUAAUACUUUGUAUAACAUUUCAACAUUUCAUUUAUUUAGAUUUGCAGAGCAGCAACAUAAUAAUUUGUUUUUUUUAGGGGAACAUAUUAAUUUGUUUACAAAAACUGAUUACAUUCACUGUCACUGCUACCUAAACCGAAUGAUUUGGUCUGU
Molecule: RNA transcript, 3339 nt
Organism: Spinacia oleracea (spinach)
Lineage: Eukaryota; Viridiplantae; Streptophyta; Magnoliopsida; Caryophyllales; Amaranthaceae
Exons: 4
Source: RefSeq, a predicted model, not a curated record